AAGUAAAACUGAAGCUGUAAACCAACCGAAGUAAUUAUGCCGGCGGGCCGCGUGGAGCAGGGAAGCAUCUCGGAGUUGUA
RNAcentral lists this long non-coding RNA (80 nucleotides) under Felis catus (domestic cat). RNAcentral's name for it is "lncRNA (ENSFCAG00000051927.1)". The record is from RNAcentral. Lineage: Eukaryota; Metazoa; Chordata; Mammalia; Carnivora; Felidae.